Molecule: small nuclear RNA, 107 nt
Organism: Molossus molossus (Pallas's mastiff bat)
Lineage: Eukaryota; Metazoa; Chordata; Mammalia; Chiroptera; Molossidae
Source: RefSeq, a predicted model, not a curated record
GUGCUCCCUUUGGCAGCACACAUACUAAAAUUGGAACGAUACAGAGAAGAUUAGCGGGGCCCCUGCACAGAAAUGACACACCAAUUCGUGAGGCGUUUUAUAUUAAA